Molecule: long non-coding RNA, 199 nt
Filed under: Elaeis guineensis (African oil palm)
Lineage: Eukaryota; Viridiplantae; Streptophyta; Magnoliopsida; Arecales; Arecaceae
Description: long non-coding RNA (EGUI_LNC028773)
Source: RNAcentral
GGCCCAACAAAAUAUUGUUAUUUUCAGAAUAAAAGAUCAGAUCCUUACUAAUGCAACAAAUUAAAGCACUACAAUGUAUUAUGGAAAAAUAUGGUUUUAAUGUUUUCAAUUUAAAAUUCUAGCACUCAUGAUUCAAUUUGUCUAAUGGAGAUGUAAAAGAAUUUCAUAUUAAUAUUUUAUAUCAAGGGUCUAUUUGGAU